CCUACGGGAGGCAGCAGUGGGGGAUAUUGCACAAUGGGGGGAACCCUGAUGCAGCGACGCCGCGUGGGUGAAGAAGCGCCUCGGCGCGUAAAGCCCUGUCAGCAGGGAAGCAAAGACGGUACCUGAAGAAGAAGCCCCGGCUAACUACGUGCCAGCAGCCGCGGUAAUACGUAGGGGGCACGCGUUAACCGGGUUUACUGGGGGUAAAGGGGGCGCAGUCGGCGAUGCAGGCCAGGAGUGAAAGCCCGGGGGCCAACCCCGGGACUGCUCUUGGAACUGCGUGGCUGGAGUGCAGGCGGGGCAGGCGGAAUGCCUGGUGUAGCGGUGAAAUGCGUAGAUAUCAGGAGGAACCCCGAUGGCGAAGGCAGCCUGCUGGACUGCAACUGACGUUGAGGCCCGAAAGCGUGGGGAGCGAACAGGAUUAGAUACCCCAGUAGUC
RNAcentral lists this ribosomal RNA (439 nucleotides) under uncultured bacterium. Its description in RNAcentral is "partial 16S ribosomal RNA". It matches the Rfam family "Bacterial small subunit ribosomal RNA", at positions 338 to 795 of the family's 1533-position model. The record is from RNAcentral.